UACGAAGGGGGCUAGCGUUGCUCGGAAUCACUGGGCGUAAAGGGUGCGUAGGCGGGUCUUUAAGUCAGGGGUGAAAUCCUGGAGCUCAACUCCGAAACUGCAUUCGAUACUGCCGUGCUUGAGGACUGGAGAGGAGACUGGAAUUUACGGUGUAGCGGUGAAAUGCGUAGAUAUCGUAAGGAAGACCAGUGGCGAAGGCGGGUCUCUGGACAGUUCCUGACGCUGAGGCACGAAGGUCAGGGGAGCAAACGGG
Molecule: ribosomal RNA, 253 nt
Filed under: uncultured bacterium
Lineage: Bacteria
Description: partial 16S ribosomal RNA
Rfam family: Bacterial small subunit ribosomal RNA
Source: RNAcentral